Chenopodium quinoa (quinoa) is the source of this 2936-nucleotide RNA transcript. It is a transcript of the gene named putative tRNA pseudouridine synthase Pus10, with no coding region annotated. Lineage: Eukaryota; Viridiplantae; Streptophyta; Magnoliopsida; Caryophyllales; Amaranthaceae. The transcript is spliced from 15 exons. The record is from RefSeq and is a predicted model, not a curated record.
GUUCCAUAAUGUAUCUACAAAUUUUAUCACAUAAGCGCAUUAGACAAGAUAAAAUUCAAAUUAGAUUGUAGAAUAAUUCAUAUCAAAUCAGACUAGAAAAAAAGAACAUUAUUGCAUAAAAAAAAUAAGAAAAUUGUUAGAAGAUAAAUGUGAAUGCCUAUUAUUUGAUUUGUUUUCACAAUGUUCACACAAGUCCAAAGACUUGUGAACUUGUAUGACAUUAUAUGUAAAGCUCUUGGCUAUAUAAACCAUGUUGCCGAUGUAAUACUACAAUUUACUCAUCCCAUUUUUACUUCUUCUUUACUUCUCCUUUCAUCGAUUAAAAGACUUCCUAUGGAUAAACAAAAAUAAGAAAAUAAAAUCACCCGACUUCCUCCUCCUUUGGGCAAUUGGGCGGGUGUUUUCUCUGGUUGGAGUGCAACUUCCUGCCGCCAUUGCAAUCAAACUGAUUUUCUCUCUCCUCCGUUUUUCUCUUCUCCAUCAAUGGCGCUCAACAACGCUGACGAAGAGCUCCGCCUGCUCGACGACGUCUUGCGCUCGCUACCGCCGCCGGCAGUCAAUUAUCUCCUAACCCUCCGAGUCUGUCCGCAGUGUAUCCUUCGAUUAUUUGGGAAAUAUGGACCAAUUUACACCCACUAUUCCCGGAUCUCUACUAUAUUGUCAGAAGUUGUUGCACAUCAACCUAGCUCUGAUGACCCUGUGUUGAAAGAGUCUGCCAAUGAGGAUGGUAUUUGCAGUGUUUGUUUUGGGAUUCUGCAGUACGUUUGUGUGGAUGAGAAACAAGCAUUGGUGAACAGGGGUUGUGCCAAUGACUUUGCUGCAUUAAUCUACGAACUGGUGAAAAAGGAUGGUCAUCAAGCAGAUAGCUUUUCUCUUGAAGUCUCUAUACCACCAAUAAUCGUGGAGAACGAAAAUGCUGUCAGGCUAUCUAUGAAACAGAAGUACAGUUCUGAGGAAUGGUUUCAAGAAACACUCCAGUCUGAAGCCAUUUCAGUCAAGGAUUCUCUGAAGCUAUCUAUAAUAGAGCCUCUUGAAACGUUGUUGGGUGUCAAAUCUGGGUCAAGCUCUUUCCGUGUUCGGUUGACUUAUACAUCUUCAGAAAUGCCAAUAAAGACUGAUAAUGGAAAAGAAAAUAACCAAGGCAGCAAGAAGCGGAAAACAGGAAGGUCUGAACCUAAUGAGAAUGAUUUCGAUUUGAAGCAAUGUGCAAAAAAUUUGCUAGAAGCAAAACCCUUCAGACCAUCAGAGAAGAUAUCAGCUUGCAGCUUGGAGGUUCUUUGUUCCAGUUCACCUAUCUAUAUUGGAGGUAGAUACUUAAAGUACUCUAGAAAUGUGAGUCAGUCACGAUGGAUUAUUGAUGAUGAAAGAAUGGGAGAAGCAUCUGUUGAGGAGAUUGUGGGAAAUAGCAUUCUUCCGUUGUGUAGGGGCGAUAAUUACAAGUUUCAUGCUGCUGGCAGAGAAGACAUAGAUGUUCGAAUGUUGGGCUCUGGACGUCCUUUCUUACUUGAAAUUCAAAAUCCCCGAAUGUUGCCAUCAGAAUUGUCACUAAAAGAGAUGGAAAUGAAAAUUAAUAGUUUGGAAGGAAAAUUGGUGAAGGUAAAAAACCUUAAAGUUGUUGAUGAACAAGUUUGGACCCUAAUGCGUGAAGGUGAAGCAGAGAAGCAGAAGCAAUAUACAGCCCUAGUGUGGAUUUCUCGUCAACUUGAGGAUAAAGACUUGGUAACUUUAUCUUUACUUAAAGAUUUGGUCGUGGCGACUCCCUUGCACCACAGUUGAGAAUGGUGGACCUCCUUGAUGGUCUCCUUGAUGGUGAAUGGAACCUCCCUAUUUGAACGAUGUUGAGAAGGCUCUGAAACCCCACAUAUCAUAGGACGCGCACUGAUUGCCCAUGCAGCGCUUAAAAUCCUGCCUUCCCCAUGUGUGCAACAAGCUAAUAAAUAGAGGAUAUAACACGCAAUGACGCUAACCUGCACCACAAAUACAAUCAUUAGUAAGGCACGGGCACGCAAGCAUAGGAGGUUGCCUCAUAUGGGACUUGUUGCGUAUGCAUAUAACUGAUUUAUGAUACAGAGAGUGUAUUUUCAUCCUGCUUUUUGUACUGAAUUAUAUAUAAGUGGCUUACUUUUUUAUGGGUAUCAUGGAUGAAAAUGCCUAUUAUAUGUCGGUCAUUAUUUUGGGAGUUAUUGCUAUAUUCAUUCUUAAUUUGCCUGAACAUUGUGACUGGUCUUUGGUGGUAACUGUACUACUAAUUAUAAUUUCUCCGUUUUCUUAUUGAAUAGAAAUUAUCACAGAGAACCCCAGUGAGGGUACUUCAUCGUCGAAGUCCUCUAGAACGUGAAAAGAUAAUUCAUUCGAUAAAUAUUGAGAAGAUGUCCGGAAGUACCCAGUAUUUCCUCCUCCAUCUCUGCACACAGGCUGGAACAUACAUCAAGGAAUUUGUCCAUGGAGACCUUGGGCGCACUUAUCCAAGCCUUGGUUCGAUUCUGGGUUGUAGAGCAGAGAUUCUCCAGCUUGAUGUAACAGAUGUGAAGAUGGACUGUUUCCUGACUAAAUGAAGAUAUGGUUUUCAAUAUUUGGAACAAACUCAUCAUCUUAAGUACUUCCACAACCAAUGGUGACCAGUAAGGCAGUCAGACCGAUUAAUAAUUUUUAGUUGGCAGAGAAAUUUUGGGGGUUAGGGUGACUCAGGGUGCAGUUUUUUUUAAUUUUUUUUUUUUUAAAAAAAAAAAAACUUUUUUUUAAAAUCUGUUAUUGACGAUAUAGUGGAGAAUAGAUUCUGCAAUUGAUAAUACAGUAUCUGAUUCAAAGGGUCUCUGUUCGUAUGAAAUGCAUCGAUUCAAGAUAGCCCUUCUUGAUCACAUGCUCAUAAUUGAUAAUCUUGUAUCAGAAUCAUAUGCGUAAUUGCAUGUUAUAUUAUCAAUCAAUUUUGCGUCUUA